CCAAAGGCUCUCUUUAGGGCCACAUUUGUGGUUAAAAAAUAUGCGU
Non-coding RNA from Oesophagostomum dentatum (nodular worm), 46 nucleotides. The record is from Rfam. Lineage: Eukaryota; Metazoa; Nematoda; Chromadorea; Rhabditida; Strongylidae.